AUUGAACGCUGGCGGCAUGCUUUACACAUGCAAGUCGAACGGGGUGAGGGGGCAACCUCUCAUUCAGUGGCGAACGGGUGAGUAAUGCAUCGGAACGUACCCUGUAGUGGGGGAUAACGCCGGGAAACCGGCGCCAAUACCGCAUAUUUCUCUACGGAGGAAAGCGGGGGAUUCGCAAGAACCUCGCGCUAUGGGAGCGGCCGAUGUCCGAUUAGCUUGUUGGUGGGGUAAUGGCCCACCAAGGCUACGAUCGGUAGCUGGUCUGAGAGGAUGAUCAGCCACACUGGGACUGAGACACGGCCCAGACUCCUACGGGAGGCAGCAGUGGGGAAUUUUGGACAAUGGGGGCAACCCUGAUCCAGCCAUGCCGCGUGCGGGAAGAAGGCCUGGUUGGUAACCGU
Molecule: ribosomal RNA, 401 nt
Filed under: uncultured bacterium
Lineage: Bacteria
Description: bacterial SSU rRNA
Rfam family: Bacterial small subunit ribosomal RNA
Source: RNAcentral